UGACUAAGCCCCUGCUCACCCA
RNAcentral lists this microRNA (22 nucleotides) under Bombyx mori (domestic silkworm). RNAcentral describes it as "bmo-miR-3210". Lineage: Eukaryota; Metazoa; Arthropoda; Insecta; Lepidoptera; Bombycidae. The record is from miRBase by way of RNAcentral.